UACGAAGGGGGCUAGCGUUGCUCGGAAUUACUGGGCGUAAAGCGCACGUAGGCGGAUUGUUAAGUCGGGGGUGAAAUCCUGGAGCUCAACUCCAGAACUGCCUUCGAUACUGGCGAUCUCGAGUUCGGGAGAGGUGAGUGGAACUGCGAGUGUAGAGGUGAAAUUCGUAGAUAUUUGCAAGAACACCAGUGGCGAAGGCGGCUCACUGGCCCGAUACUGACGCUGAGGUGCGAAAGCGUGGGGAGCAAACAGG
Molecule: ribosomal RNA, 253 nt
Filed under: uncultured bacterium
Lineage: Bacteria
Description: partial 16S ribosomal RNA
Rfam family: Bacterial small subunit ribosomal RNA
Source: RNAcentral